Molecule: ribosomal RNA, 468 nt
Filed under: uncultured bacterium
Lineage: Bacteria
Description: bacterial SSU rRNA
Rfam family: Bacterial small subunit ribosomal RNA
Source: RNAcentral
CGUAGUUUGAUCAUGGCUCAGAGCGAACGCUAGCGGCGGGCUUAACACAUGCAAGUCGAGCGGAGAGCUUCGGCUCUCAGCGGCGAACGGGUGAGUAACACGUAGGUCACGUACCCUUUGAUGGGGAAUAACCUAGGGAAACCUGGGCUAAUACCGCAUAUGUCCUUCGGGAUGAAAGCCUUCGGGCGUCAGAGGAUCGGCCUGCGGCCCAUUAUUUAAUCCUAGUUGGUAGGGUAAUGGCCUACCAAGGGUACGAUGGGUAGCUGGUCUGAGAGGAUGAUCAGCCACACUGGAACUGAGACACGGUUCAGACUCCUACGGGAGGCAGCAGUGGGGAAUAUUGGACAAUGGGCGAAAGCCUGAUCCAGCCACGCCGCGUGGGUGAUGAAGGCCUUCGGGUUGUAAAGCCCUGUCGGGAGGGACGAAUCAAUGACGGUACCUCCCAAGAAAGCACCGGCUAACUCCGUG